ACCAAGGCAAGAAAAGCUCUCACUCUCUCCACCUCUCUUCAUUUUCGUCCCUCCUCUUUUCCCCCACUCUCACAACUUUUCUCCCACCAUUAUCACACUCCAUAGAAGCCCUUGAAGCCCCAAGAGAAGUAUCAAAGCAAGGGAGAGCGUGGAAAAACUAGGGCGUAAAGUUAGAGUGAAGGUUGUGCUUCGAGGGAAUUGGUCCGCAGGACGGUGUCACAGCUUAAGAUCAUCUCUAUCUUCCGCACCGAAGAUCAGGUUGAUGGCUGGUGUUGACGGGGAGAGCUGAGGCUAGGGUUCAACUCCGUGUUUUGACUCCCGC
Long non-coding RNA from Salvia miltiorrhiza (redroot sage), 322 nucleotides. RefSeq lists it as uncharacterized. The record is from RefSeq and is a predicted model, not a curated record. The transcript is spliced from 3 exons. NCBI's taxonomy places the organism in Eukaryota, Viridiplantae, Streptophyta, Magnoliopsida, Lamiales, Lamiaceae.